This 253-nucleotide ribosomal RNA is filed under the name uncultured bacterium. RNAcentral describes it as "partial 16S ribosomal RNA". It matches the Rfam family "Bacterial small subunit ribosomal RNA", at positions 524 to 776 of the family's 1533-position model. The record is from RNAcentral.
CACGUAGGGUGCGAGCGUUGUCCGGAAUUAUUGGGCGUAAAGAGCUCGUAGGCGGCUUGUUGCGUCGACCGUGAAAACCCGGGGCUCAACUUCGGGCUUGCGGUCGAUACGGGCGGGCUAGAGUUCGGUAGGGGAGACUGGAAUUCCUGGUGUAGCGGUGAAAUGCGCAGAUAUCAGGAGGAACACCGGUGGCGAAGGCGGCUCUCUGGGACGGUACUGACGCUGAGACGCGAAAGCGUGGGGAGCGAACAGG